AUUGAAAUAGUUUAAAAAAAAUAUUAAAUUGUGAAUUUAAAGAAAUUUUUCAAUA
This 55-nucleotide transfer RNA is filed under the name Tetranychus malaysiensis. RNAcentral describes it as "tRNA-His". The record is from RNAcentral. Lineage: Eukaryota; Metazoa; Arthropoda; Arachnida; Trombidiformes; Tetranychidae.